UACGUAGGGUGCGAGCGUUAAUCGGAAUUACUGGGCGUAAAGCGUGCGCAGGCGGCGCGUUAAGACAGGUGUGAAAGCCCCGAGCUUAACUUGGGAAUUGCGCUUGUGACUGCCCGGCUAGAGUGUGUCAGAGGGGGGUAGAAUUCCACGUGUAGCAGUGAAAUGCGUAGAUAUGUGGAGGAAUACCGAUGGCGAAGGCAGCCCCCUGGGAUAACACUGACGCUCAUGCACGAAAGCGUGGGGAGCAAACAGG
This 253-nucleotide ribosomal RNA is filed under the name uncultured bacterium. RNAcentral describes it as "partial 16S ribosomal RNA". It matches the Rfam family "Bacterial small subunit ribosomal RNA", at positions 524 to 776 of the family's 1533-position model. The record is from RNAcentral.